UUGACCUCGGAUCAGGUAGGGAUACCCGCUGAACUUAAGCAUAUCAAUAAGCGGAGGAAAAGAAACCAACAGGGAUUGCCCCAGUAACGGCGAGUGAAGCGGCAAGAGCUCAAAUUUGAAAGCUGGCUCCUUCGGGGUCCGCAUUGUAAUUUGUAGAGGAUGCUUCGGGAGCGGUCCCCAUCUAAGUGCCCUGGAACGGGACGUCAUAGAGGGUGAGAAUCCCGUAUGGGAUGGGGUGUCCGCGCCCGUGUGAAGCUCCUUCGACGAGUCGAGUUGUUUGGGAAUGCAGCUCUAAAUGGGUGGUAAAUUUCAUCUAAAGCUAAAUAUUGGCCGGAGACCGAUAGCGCACAAGUAGAGUGAUCGAAAGAUGAAAAGCACUUUGAAAAGAGAGUUAAAAAGCACGUGAAAUUGUUGAAAGGGAAGCGCUUGCGACCAGACUCGCUCGCGGGGUUCAGCCGGCAUUCGUGCCGGUGUACUUCCCCGCGGGCGGGCCAGCGUCGGUUUGGGCGGUCGGUCAAAGGCCCUCGGAAGGUAACGCCCCUAGGGGCGUCUUAUAGCCGAGGGUGCAAUGCGACCUGCCUAGACCGAGGAACGCGCUUCGGCUC
RNAcentral lists this ribosomal RNA (605 nucleotides) under Penicillium coprophilum. RNAcentral describes it as "eukaryotic LSU rRNA". It matches the Rfam family "Eukaryotic large subunit ribosomal RNA", at positions 1 to 608 of the family's 3401-position model. Lineage: Eukaryota; Fungi; Ascomycota; Eurotiomycetes; Eurotiales; Aspergillaceae. The record is from RNAcentral.